GCUGUGGCUCAGUGGUAGAGUGCUUGCCUGGCAUGUGUGAGGCACUGGGUUCAAUUCUCAACACUGCA
Molecule: transfer RNA, 68 nt
Filed under: Marmota monax (woodchuck)
Lineage: Eukaryota; Metazoa; Chordata; Mammalia; Rodentia; Sciuridae
Description: tRNA.Ala
Source: RNAcentral